RNAcentral lists this ribosomal RNA (434 nucleotides) under uncultured bacterium. RNAcentral describes it as "partial 16S ribosomal RNA". It matches the Rfam family "Bacterial small subunit ribosomal RNA", at positions 29 to 507 of the family's 1533-position model. The record is from RNAcentral.
AGCGAACGCUGGCGGCAGGCCUAACACAUGCAAGUCGAACGAACCUUUCGGGGUUAGUGGCGGACGGGUGAGUAACACGUGGGAACGUGCCUUUAGGUUCGGAAUAACUCAGGGAAACUUGUGCUAAUACCGAAUGUGCCCUUCGGGGGAAAGAUUUAUCGCCUUUAGAGCGGCCCGCGUCUGAUUAGCUAGUUGGUUGAGGUAAUGGCUCACCAAGGCGACGAUCAGUAGCGGGUCUGAGAGGAUGAUCAGCCACAUUGGGACUGAGACACGGCCCAAACUCCUACGGGAGGCAGCAGUGGGGAAUCUUGCGCAAUGGGCGAAAGCCUGACGCAGCCAUGCCGCGUGAAUGAUGAAGGUCUUAGGAUUGUAAAAUUCUUUCACCGGGGACGAUAAUGACGGUACCCGGAGAAGAAGCCCCGGCUAACUUCGUG